Molecule: ribosomal RNA, 629 nt
Filed under: uncultured fungus
Lineage: Eukaryota; Fungi
Description: eukaryotic LSU rRNA
Rfam family: Eukaryotic large subunit ribosomal RNA
Source: RNAcentral
CCCGCUGAACUUAAGCAUAUCAAUAAGGCGAGGAACAGAAACCAACUGGGAUUCCCUCAGUAGUGGCGAAUGAAGCGGGAAAAGCUCAAGUUUGAAAUCUGGCGGGCGACCUCCAGAGUUGUAAGCUGAUGAGGCGUCGACCGACGUGGCCCGGGCUCAAUUUCCUUGGAACAGGAGGUCAUGGAGGGUGAGAACCCCGUCUGUGGUCCGAGUGCCGUCGUCUCUGUGUCGUGCCCUCUAAGAGUCGGGUUGUUUGGGAAUGCAGCUCAAAAUGGGUGGUAAAUUUCAUCUAAAGCUAAAUAUUGGCGAGAGACCGAUAGCAAACAAGUAGAGUGAUCGAAAGAUGAAAAGUACUUUGAAAAGAGAGUGAAACAGUACGUGAAAUUGUUGAAAGGGAAGCGUUUGGCAUCAGCCCAUGGCGUCCGACGAUCACCCGGGCUUCUGUCCGGUGCACUUGUCGGGCGUCGGGCCAGCGUCGGCUCUGCCCAUCGGAGAAAGGUCUCGGGGAUGUGGCUCCCUUCGGGGAGCGUUAUAACCCUUGGCGUAAUGCGAUGUGAUGGGGCCGAGGUCCGCGGUUCAUACCUAGGACGCUGGCGUAAUGGUUCCAAGCGACCCGUCUUGAAACACGG